Molecule: ribosomal RNA, 443 nt
Filed under: uncultured bacterium
Lineage: Bacteria
Description: partial 16S ribosomal RNA
Rfam family: Bacterial small subunit ribosomal RNA
Source: RNAcentral
CCUACGGGAGGCAGCAGUGGGGAAUAUUGGGCAAUGGGCGCAAGCCUGACCCAGCAACGCCGCGUGAAGGAAGAAGGCUUUCGGGUUGUAAACUUCUUUUCUCAGGGACGAAGAAUGUGACGGUACCUGAGGUAUAAGCGUCGGCUAACUACGUGCCACCAGUCGCGGUAAUCCGUAGGUGGCAAGCGUUAUCCGGAUUUAUUGGGUGUAAAGGGUGUGUAGGUGGGAGCGCAAGUCAGAUGUGAAAAUUCAGGGCUCAACCCUGAGCCUGCAUUUGAAACUGGGUUUCUUGAGUGCGGGAGAGGCAAUCGGAAUGCGGGGGGUAGCGGUGAAAUGCGUAGAUAUACGGAAGAACACCAAUGGCGAAGGCAGAUUGCUGGACAGUAACUGACGCUGAGGCGCGAAAGCGUGGGGAGCAAACAGGAUUAGAUACCCCAGUAGUC